RNAcentral lists this unclassified non-coding RNA (165 nucleotides) under uncultured Myrmecridium. RNAcentral describes it as "sequence contains ITS1". Lineage: Eukaryota; Fungi; Ascomycota; Sordariomycetes. The record is from RNAcentral.
CGAGAGUGUAACAACUCCCAACCCACUGUUUACCUACCCGUCCAACGUGCUUCGGCAGGCAGCCCUGUGGGACAGAGCCCCGCCCCCCUCGCGGGGGGUGCCUGCCGCCGGCCAACCAAAACUCAAGCUGUUUUAGUACCAUCUGAGUCUUAUACAAAAUAAACA